This 347-nucleotide ribosomal RNA is filed under the name cf. Rhabdoblatta sp. 3 FL-2016. RNAcentral's name for it is "12S ribosomal RNA". RNAcentral also lists the same sequence under 1 other name. The record is from RNAcentral. Lineage: Eukaryota; Metazoa; Arthropoda; Insecta; Blattodea.
UUUAGAUUUAAAUAUUUAACUUGAGUAGUAGUAGGUAGGAUCUUGAAACUUAAAGAAUUUGGCGGUAUUUUAGUCUAUUUAGAGGAAUCUGUCCCGUUAUCGAUAUUCCACGUUGGACCUUACUUAAAUUAUUAAUAUGUAUAUCGCCGUAUAUUGAAAAUCUUAUUAGAGAUAAUUUUCUGAAUAUUUUAUUUGAUAGUAUUUCAGGUCAAGGUGCAGUUUAUAUUUAAGGGGAGAUGGAUUACAUUAUUAUUAUAUACGAAUUAAAUUUUGGAAUUGGUUUAGGAAGGUGGAUUUAAUAGUAAUUUUGAUAAGAUUAUUAAAGUGAUUUAAGCUCUAGAAUGUGU